RNAcentral lists this long non-coding RNA (9367 nucleotides) under Zostera marina. RNAcentral describes it as "long non-coding RNA (ZMAR_LNC003619)". Lineage: Eukaryota; Viridiplantae; Streptophyta; Magnoliopsida; Alismatales; Zosteraceae. The record is from RNAcentral.
UUCCGUAGUAUUGGGCCUAUUGGCAUAUUGCAAAUUUAUAGAAUCCUAGAAAAAUUGCAUUGUAUGUCGACGUAAACUUGCCUCGAAUGAUAAAUUUGAAUAUAGUAAUAUUUAAAUGCCUCGAGCUAUUUGAAAGGGACGUGUUCUCUUUAUGGACUGAAAGAAACACGAAAUUCAAGCAAACACAUCUUCAUUUUAUCAUAUCACUUGCUGUCCAUGCUAUAUAGGAAACAAUUUAUGAGCCUAGCUCAUCACCAUCUACUCUUCUUUUAUCCUCAAUGUAUAUGGCCAUUACCCUUCAUUUUAUCAAAAUUAAAUUAAAUUAGUAUUUAGAUAUUAGUAAUUUAGUAUAUAGUCCAAAAUUGGUAAUGUAAUGUACAGUUCUAUCCUUAUACAUUUUUUUUUGAUAAAUUUAAAUUUUCAUUACUGAAAAGUAGUGGAAGGCAAUGUCCGAUUACAAAUGUAGUGAAAUGAAAGUACAACUAGUAAAACAUAAUCCAAAACAAAUCAUGUAGUGACAUUGUCACUCUCUUAUAUAUCUAUGACCUUGGCAUUAGGUAGCCAUGGACUGUUGCCUCAAGAGGUUGGACUCCCAUAAGAAUAUAGCUUGAGUUUCAACAUACACUAAUCCUUAUACAUACAUUCAUACACUAGUCUUUUAAAUGUCUAAUACUUCAAUUACUUGGAUUUUUUAUAAAUGAUCAUUUUUUAUCGACAAACAUCUCUUCUAAUCACUUCUAGAGUGGUUUUAAAAUUCUAGUAUCUAGUAUCUAUUUCAUGGGUGCCAACUGAAAAGUUGUCGCAUUAUGUUGCAUGUUCCGUGUCAAGUUGAUUUAAACCAAGGAUUUAAAGGCGCGAUUGCGCUGCCUCCUAGGCACGCCUCAGGCACCAGUGGCAUUUUGGUAAAUAAUUACAAAAUACAUAUAUUUCAGACAAAAAUAUAUAUUUAAUUCAAAUUGAUAAAGUCUGAAAUACUUAGUUACUAAAAUACUGAAAUACAUUUAAAAAUACUUAAGGUUUGUAGUAGUAAAUCAAUCUACGUGUUCUUCAAUUCUUCGCCUUUUUACGCCUAUGGAUCAACCGUGCCUCAGGUUCAGGUUCUGGUUGGGGUUCAGCUUUUGUCUGAGCAGUGAAAGGUCUUGCUUGACGUCUUCGAAUUGAAGGCCCUGGGUGCUCGCCAGAGAUAGGGGCAUGGAUUGGGGAGGUUUGUUAGGGAUUAGGGGAGGUUUGCUAGGGUUUGGGGGAGGUUUCCUAGGGUUCCUUGCAUUUUCCAGCUUAAGUGUACCGGAUCCGAGUCCAGGCCCGAACCAGAUCCGGUUAGGCCUAUUACCUGGAUGCACGCAUUUAGAACCUUGAUUUAAACAGAUAUCAUCAAUUUUCCCCCUUUAACAUAAUAUAUUUGCUUUUUUUGGACAGCAAUGUUGCAGCUGGGAGGUUGUUUGGUAUACCACUUCGUGGAACACAUUCUCAUGCAUUUGUUAGCUCAUAUAUGGUAAUUGCAGUCCUUGAUAUUUUCUUUUCUUAUGUCGUGUUGGUUACUAGUUACCACAAUUUUUAUUUUAUAUUAACAUUCUUCCUUAGAUUUUUUUUCAUAAUUUAUUAAUGGAUGGUUCUACAGAAUCCUGACGAAAUCUUAAACAAAACACUUCAAAGUUCUGAUGGUUCUUUCACAUGUCAUGAUUUUGUUCGUUUGGGGCAUGACUGGCUCAGCAAAAUUCAGGUUAGUAUUGGCUUGCCAUGAAAAUAUCAUUAUGAUAUUUUCCAAUUUCCAUAAUUAUCAUUGCCAUUUGAUUUUCUUAUCAAUUUCACAUAUUGUAAAUCCAAAUAGGACAAUACCUGCAAAUGAUGUAAAUAAUGUAAUCAGACAGUUCCUGAACUUUGCAUGAUAAUUAGAUAUGGUUCGUUUAACCAUCAUUCUCUCAGUCUCACUAGUAUCAUUUGUGAUGAUUAUGAAACCAUCAAUUCAUUGCUAGAUAUGCAUCGAUGCUUGUAUGAUACUCUGGAUAGUAGAUAUGCUCUUUUUCUGAACAUAUCACCAUCAUUUUCUGCGAAGUUAGUGAAUUAUUGUUUUCAAAGCUGAGUUAGCACCUGUGACUACUGACUAGUUUUAUGGACAGACAGUUCCUCCUGUCUUAUUUAAGACUCCUGUCUGUGGUUACAUCUAGUGCAUUUAAACUUUUAAAGACUAUUAGGUAUUAGGAAUGCACCUAGUGUAUUCUUAACCAUCUUUUUGUAUUCUUGUGCGACUCUUAAAUCUUAAUGAUAUUACAAUUAACAUUUGAAAUAUAUAUACUGUAUUUAGUGGUUACUUGUCUUUAUUCUUCAGAAAAUAAGCUCAUUAAAUGGUAUCUUUGGUGAGACAAAUCAAAGUGAGUUUGCUGCAUUCACAUCAUAUGCAUUGGCAUUUCCAAAGAACUUCCUUGCCCUUGUAGAUACAUAUGAUGUAAGUGAUCUUUCUUUCAAUUUAUGCAAUAGGAUUUCUUUUUUAACAUAUAUGAUGAUAAAAUCGUAACGAAUAAAUGGUUUAUACUUGAACAUAUUAUGUUUGCAUUAUGGUUUGAGUUACCUCUUAGUGUGUAAGUACGCAAUGUUGGCUACUCAUACUACGGGCUAACAGGGAUUAUAGCACACUGCCACACUAUAAUGCUAGCUAGUAGCUAUCAUGUUUAAUAUUUUUUUGUGUAUAUAUAUAUAUAUAUACACCUUCUGUAUUUUGUAAGCAAUAUCUGUUUACUUGCUUCAAAAAAAAAGUAAUAUCUGUUUAGAGUAAUUUAGUGCAUGAAAAUAGGUCUAGAGUACAAAAAAUAGGAAAUAUUUGUUGAAGUUAAUUGCAUUGAAAUUAAUUGCAAGGAGUUAUUUGCAAUUAUUUCAGUGAGCAAUUAAUUAAAUUAUAAGGGAGGCAUAAGUUAGAUGGAGAAUAUUCUUCAUGGGCUAAUAAUUCUUAUUGGGCAUGUUGGAUUAAUUAGUUAUCAAGGGCUAGGGCAUGGCCGGUACGCCUCUUUAGAUAACUAAUUAUAAAUAACAUCUAAUUUUUCUCUUGUAAGGUGCUGGAUAGUUUUCUGUCGUCUAUAAUUCUUGUCACCAAGGGUAGGAGAAAUCCAAUCAUCCCCGGGGAGUAAGCACAACUGAACCUCGUUAACAAAACAUUCUCUUUUGUUGUGUGUUCUUAUUUUUCUUUCCUCCACUUCUAUUUUUUCUGAUCUGAUUACACAUUUCAGAUCAGUACUUUUGUCUGAGGUCAGAAAUAUUUGUUGAAGUUAAUUGCAUUGAAAUUAAUUGCAAGGAGUUAUUUGCAAUUAUUUCAGUGAGCAAUUAAUUAAAUUAUAAGGGAGGCAUAAGUUAGAUGGAGAAUAUUCUUCAUGGGCUAAUAAUUCUUAUUGGGCAUGUUGGAUUAAUUAGUUAUCAAGGGCUAGGGCAUGGCCGGUACGCCUCUUUAGAUAACUAAUUAUAAAUAACAUCUAAUUUUUCUCUUGUAAGGUGCUGGAUAGUUUUCUGUCGUCUAUAAUUCUUGUCACCAAGGGUAGGAGAAAUCCAAUCAUCCCCGGGGAGUAAGCACAACUGAACCUCGUUAACAAAACAUUCUCUUUUGUUGUGUGUUCUUAUUUUUCUUUCCUCCACUUCUAUUUUUUCUGAUCUGAUUACACAUUUCAGAUCAGUACUUUUGUCUGAGGUCAGAAUUGAGAGAAUAGAGAGCAACCAUUCUCGUGUGAGCCUGUGAGGUAGAGAGAAUCUGAUCAGGAGAGAUCAGAUCUAUUCGUGGAUUGCAAAUCGACUUACAAGUGGUAUCAGAGCCGUGUUUGAGGUCCAAGAAGUUGCUGGAAUAAAAAAAAAACGCGAACACUGUUUAUCGCCGGAGUUACUGUUCACGUUAAAAAAAUUGCGGAAAUUUUCAGGAACAGGAGAAGAUCAUUCUGCGAUUGUUUCCUUAUUUUUUCUGGUCUUGAAAAAUGGGAGGAGAUAGCAAGCUGUGGAUAGAGAAGUUCAUUGGCAAAGAUUUCACAUAUUGGCUGAUGCAGAUUACUGAUUAUCUGCAAAGUAGAAAGCUGGUGAAGUCUAUGAAAGGACAGAAACCCGAUCCAAUGAGUGAAGAAGAUUGGGAAGAGAUGGAUGUUGUUGCUUUUAGCAUGGUCCGACUGACCUUGGCAAAAUCAAUUGCACUGUCGUGUGCAAAAGAAACCACGAAAGCAGGAUUGAUUGCAAGACUCAAAGGGAUGUAUGAGAAGGGUUGUGUGUUCUUAUUUUUCCUUCUUUCACUCAAGGAUCGCGAUGUGCCACCACCUGGAGCAUUUGAGCUUUUGCUCGUUUCAGAUCAGUACUUUUGUGUGUGGUCAGAAUUGAGAGAAUAGAGAGAGCCACCAUUCUCAUGUGAGGUAGAGAGAAUCUGAUCAGAAGAGAUCAGAUCUAUUCGUGGAUUGCAAAUCAACUUAUAAUACUAAGUAGAAUGAGUAUAAAAAAUUGAACUCAAAGUUCUAAAUUCAAAUCUUCUGAUUCUCUGAAUGUCCUAUAGCAUCUCAGAUUCAUUCUUUGCUAAAAGUACUAUGAGGUAACAGGGAUUAUAGCACACCAUAAUGCUCUAGCUAUUAUGUUUAAUAUUUUUUAUAUCUAUAUAUGUACCUUCUGUAUUUUGUAAGUAAUAUCUGUUUAGAAUAGCAAAAAAUAGGAAAUACUAAGUAGAAUGAGUAUAAAAAAUUGAAAUAACAAUAAAUGAAGUGCUGGAGACAGUGGAGGGAAUUUGUUUGCCAGAGGAGGGAUGAGUUCGUCGGAGGCAGUAGCGGUCAUCGUCCAAUAGAAAUUCUUUCCUGUUGGUAAAACAUACUUGAGAGCAUUGAAAUACUUGAUGCUCUGGACUAGAAAGCUCCCACUAUCUUAACUAACAAAAUUAUUAUGAAAUAAGACACCGACCCUCUUUAGCACUCUAAAUCAUUGAACUGUGAACCUGGUUAUGUUUCUCAGGCUUGUUUGUUUUCUAAUUUACGUGAAUUAUUGAUUAAGUAUGGACCAUGGCGCUAUAUCAAUCAUAUUUUAAUUAGUUUCCUGUUGAUUUUAUCUACCAUUACUGUUUCACAUAUGAUUAUACAAUGACGAUGUAUUUUUUGACAAAUUUGAUUUUCCAUUCUACUUAUCAGGUAAUGAGGAGUGGGGUCCCUAAUUUUUGUGCAGUGGCUUUAGCAUUGAAUGAUCUAGGGUAUGUUAUUGAGACUAUCAUUCAUCCAUCCAUCUUUUCAUUGUCCUUGGAAACGAUAAAUUUGAUUAGAUUUUAUAGUAUCAACCAUCCAUUUCAAUUUUACUGAGAUACAUUUGUUCCUUUUUCUUGGUUGCUGUAUACAUAUUACAUAAUCAUAUAUGUUAACAUUCGGAAAAUAUAUUAGAGAGUUUACAUCAGAUCUAUUAAUUUAAAUUGAUAAUUUGAUAUUAGACAUUUAGACUCAAGGUUCGGGAUACGUCUCUAGCUCUCUGCGCUAUGCGCCACCACCUGGAGCAUUUGAGCUUUUGUGCGCAAAGACGCGCUCAAACAAGGGAAGACGGCAUUUUUGUAAGAAUAUAAAAAAUAAGGGAAAUUCAUAUAUUUUUUAUAUAUCAAUCCUAAAAUAUAGAUAUACCAAUAAAAUAAUCAAUUAAAUUUUUUAGUCAAAAAAAUAUUGGAUAGAAAAAUUGUUAUAAUACAUAUAUUUUUUAAUUAUUAUAACACCUUAUUAUUCAUUAUAACACUAUAAUUUAUUUAACACAUGUACACUUUAUUUAGUCCCAUAUUGAUAGGAUAUAAAAAGUACAAAAAACACUAUAAUUUAUUUAACACAUGUACCCUUUAUUUAGUCUUACAUUGAUAAAAUUCAAAAAGUACAAAGAAUAUAACAAUAAUUUAUUUAAUACAUGUACACUUUAUUUAGUCCCACAUUGAUAGAAUUCAAAAAGUACAAAGAAAGUUGGUCUAUAAAUAAAGAUUCAUUUUUUCUAAAUCAAACAUGAAGUCUUAAGAGUGGGAGGAGCUUAUAUUAAAAAUAAUAUAGCUCUUUUCAUAGACCAAUGUAUAAAUUUUUAUGGCCUGUUUUAAAAUAAAUUUUUAUAACCCUAGGUCUAAAAUAAAAUAAAAAUUUGGGCCUGUUUUUUAUUUAAUUCAGGGCCGGAUCUAGCUAAGGAAGAUGCGCUUGGCGUAUCUCCCUUUUGAGGAGCAAUGACGCAUAAUGCGCGCAUCCGAUUCCUAGUUUAAACUAAUUACUCAGAGAGUAAUCAGCCAUCACUGAUCUAAUCAGUGACUGGUUUCUGGUUGGACUGAUCUAAUCAAAUCUUGGUUGGAUACUUGGAUCUGAGUAAGCAAUCACCAUUCCAUCAUCAUGUUGAUGAGUAGAGAAUGAUGCUGAGGACUAUAGCAUUUCUCCAGCACCGAAUACAGUAGGCCGCCAAGGACUACAACAGACUGCAGAUUAUCCGUGUCUUCACUCCAGCCACCUCCCUGCACUGUCUUGUGUUUGGGAUGUGGGUAUAUAUAAUUAUAUAUUAUACAUAUAUACAUAUUAGAUAUAUAAAUAUAUUGGGGUAUAUAUUAAAUCAUUACAGAAUAAAUAUCAUUUAUUUAUAAAUAUACCCUGACCGAUUACUUUCCGAGUUGAAUAUUCGAUAGAUUGGACUGUUUGGCCAAUCUUCAAACAAUGAUAUUGGUAGUCCAGAUCAAAAUAUUGGAUGUCGGUUUGUAAUCAGGGAAUUGAUAUAUAAAAUUACCAAGGAUGUGAUUUAUUAAGAAAUGAUCAAUGAUUUUAAGUUUGUGUCACUCCCUUGCUAGAUUAUUAUUUUUUAAAUUAAAUGGAUUAAUUUUUUUUAUCUGUUUUAAGUUUGUUCUUUAAUGGUUUCAAAUCAAAUGUUUGUAUUCAGGUAUAAAGCAACUGGAAUUAGGUUGGAUUCUGGUGAUUUGGCAUACUUAUCAAUCGAGAGUCGUAAAUUUUUUCAGGCAAUUGAGAAGGAGUUGGGCAUAUCUUCUUUUGGAAAAAUGAUGAUAACUGCCAGUAAUGACCUGAAUGAGGAUACUCUUGAUGCUUUAAAAAAGCAGGUCAGUUGUAUGUUAAUUCCCAUAUACGAUUAAUAAAAAAUGGUCAGUUGAAGCCUUGGAGGUAUGAGUGUAUAACUGCCAUGAAUACAAGUGAUGAAUAUAUUACAUAUGUACACAUAGGUACAUUGUAUUUUAUUUGCCUUAUGAUUGUAAUCAGAUCUUUUAAUCUGUUCUCUUCCUUCUUCCAGGGGCAUGAAGUAGAUUGUUUUGGUAUAGGCACACAUCUUGUUACAUGUUAUGGUCAACCAGCUCUUGGUUGUGUUUUCAAACUUGUAGAGAUAAAUAACAAGCCUCGAAUGAAACUUUCUGAGGAUGUUUCCAAGGUUAGAUUAUACUGUAAAAUAAGUUUACCAUUUUUCUUGAGUACUAUGUUUUUUAAUAACCAGUAUUAUGCUGCAUUAUAGGUCUCGAUACCCUGCAGAAAGCAAUGUUAUAGAUUGUAUGGGAUAGAAGGAUACCCAUUGUUGGAUAUAAUGACCAUGAAAGAUGAACCCGCUCCAAAGGUAUAAGUUAUGGCAGAGUAUUGGUGAGCAGAGUUGCUCUUUUCUCAUGUCAAUGCAUUGAUAUUUAUCAAGCUUUUUCAUGCGAUGCCUAGGCGUCGCAUAGGCGGUCAUGCAGUCCAGCGCAAGUAGGCGUUUGCCUUCAUGCACUGGCCGGCGCCUAACCCAUUAACCCAUUUAAUUUCAUUUAAAAUGAGGAGUUAGGGUUUUAAAACCCUAACACCUCAUUUUUCUCCCUAUUUCUUCUCAUUUCCUCUUCUUUUUCCCAAAUUUCCAGCCACCCUCCCACUUCCUCUUCAGUCCAUUUCCUCCACCUCCGGCCACCUCUACCUCUGGCGAACCUCGACUCCGACUCCGGCGAUGGAAAUUAUGCGACUAGGCCCAUCGCAUGACCGCAUGGUCGCAUGUAAAAGCUUGAUAUUUAUAGUAUCAAGUAUCCUUUUCUUUUCUUUUCUUUUCUUUUUUUAAAGCAAUUAAAUUUCAUUAAAAAUAAAGGCAAUACCCAAAUUAUAUAGAGUAUAGAAAUAUAAAACAGAAGUAAAAAAAAAUGAGCAAGAAGCUCAUUGACUCUCUUCCAUUAGCUAUGUAGUCUAGUUAUAUAGUAAUUAGAUACGCUGCCUCAGGAGGUUGAUCUCCCAUACUUCCAUCAUAGAUGUCUUGAAAGGGUGACAACUCUUCUUGUAACACUCCGGAUCAAAGGAGAGACUGAUGUCCUUAAUGACCUCCUUAAGGACUACCUCAGAAGGCCUACUAACGUGUUGUCUAUAUCUUUUAUUUCUUUCUGUCUAUAUAUGCCACGACAAACACCCAAUAACAUUCCAUAGUAGCCCCCAAGGGGGAGAGUGGUGUGUGACUUUUUGUGCAGCCUCCGUAAGAUCCCCCAAUCUAAUAUCUAGACUGGAUUGGGUGGGAACUGGAAUAUUCAUUAUUCUUCAGAAGGCGAAAUUCAGGUGCUCAGCCAACGGAAUUAGGAGAGAUCUGAAAUAAGAACAGUUGAAGAAGAGAAGACUUCUAGAUUCAUCUUCCAGAUUGCAUAAUAAGCAAGCAGGAGGUACUUGUAUUUUCCAACUUUUCAACUUCCUGAACGUGUUUAGGUGAUCCCAUUUCACCCUCCACAAGAGAAUAGAGAAUCUUGUCGGCAUCUUCGACCAGAUUCCCUUGGCUAACCCGUCUUUAUGUUUUCUAUCUCUAAUCAAGUAUCCUAAUUAUUACAGGUAAAUUAUUCACUGAAUGAUAUUUACUGUGGGCAGAGUUACUUCACUAGGAAGUUAACCUGACAUUGAUUAGAUGAACUUUAUCCUAAAUAGAUAUGAUAAAUAUUUAUAAUUUUUAAUAUAUCUAAUAAAAGGUAAGUUACUAUUACCUGAGAGGUUUAACUGUUAAAACUCGAGUCUGACUAUUUUCUGUCCUGACAUUUGUGACAUUAUAAUUUUUUUCAAAGGUAGACUGGGUUUAUACAUAGAUAUUGCGUGAGGAUCCAUCCCAUUACAUGUGUUGGUCUACUAGACCCAAGACCUAUACCUCUUCUUGGCACCCUAUAAAUAGGAGAGAGCUCAAGGAGGAAAUCAGAUUCACUCACCACUCCAUUUUGGAAGGAAAACCCUGCCACUGAGCAUUGUUCUUCUCCAUAACCAAACAUUCACGAUUAGCUUGUAUAACUCGGGCAACAUACCUUUGGAUUAUAGUGCGAACGUUAGGAGCAUGUCAACUCCGGUCAUACCCUAACAAGUAGAUUACAUUAUAGAACGAAUAUCAAUCGUCAGGAGCACGUCAACCCUCCAGGAUCACCCGACAAUGAAAAUCAUGCCCAAUACCCAAAUCUUCG